This is a non-coding RNA of Mycena rebaudengoi, 95 nucleotides long. The record is from the annotation of a GenBank genome assembly. Lineage: Eukaryota; Fungi; Basidiomycota; Agaricomycetes; Agaricales; Mycenaceae.
UCGGAUGUGGUGCACGGUGCACAUCAGCUUGUCUUAAUACAAUGUCCUUGUAGCUCUGUAAGCUGAAGAACGGGGUUCGACUCCCCAUGUCCGAA